RNAcentral lists this ribosomal RNA (253 nucleotides) under uncultured bacterium. RNAcentral describes it as "partial 16S ribosomal RNA". It matches the Rfam family "Bacterial small subunit ribosomal RNA", at positions 524 to 776 of the family's 1533-position model. The record is from RNAcentral.
UACGGAGGGUGCGAGCGUUAAUCGGACUUACUGGGCGUAAAGCGCGCGUAGGCGGUUGCGUAAGUCGAUUGUGAAAGCCCCGGGCUUAACCUGGGAAUUGCAGUCGAUACUGCGCAGCUAGAGUGUGGUAGAGGUAAGUGGAAUUCCGGGUGUAGCGGUGAAAUGCGUAGAUAUCCGGAGGAACACCAGUGGCGAAGGCGGCUUCCUGUACCAACACUGACGCUGAGGUGCGAAAGCGUGGGGAGCAAAUAUG